Cavia porcellus (domestic guinea pig) is the source of this 332-nucleotide regulatory RNA element. It matches the Rfam family "Mason-Pfizer monkey virus packaging signal". From Rfam's summary of the family: The packaging signal is located in the 5' UTR and is required for specific RNA encapsidation. Lineage: Eukaryota; Metazoa; Chordata; Mammalia; Rodentia; Caviidae. The record is from Rfam.
UGGCACCCAAUGUGGGGCUUCUGGCACAGGGGAGUCAAUGAGGGAGCCAUUUGAGAACGCCGGCUAAAAGUGGAAGCAAAUUGAAUCAAGGACUGAGACUAAAAGUAAAAGCACAUUGACUCAAGGACUGAGGCCUGCGCAGAUAACUGCCCAACGUGCCGCCUGAGGCAUGGUGAGUGAACAGCAACCCCAUUCCCUUUCCCGGACAUGGGUCAAGCGUUAAGUGAACAUAAAUUGUUCAUGGGAGGCCUUAGCAAGGCAUUAAAGACAAGAGGGGUAAGGGUUAGAACAAAAGAAUUGUUGCAGUAUUUUCAAUUUAUUCAUAAAGUUUG